Molecule: small RNA, 144 nt
Filed under: Flavobacterium aquicola
Lineage: Bacteria; Pseudomonadati; Bacteroidota; Flavobacteriia; Flavobacteriales; Flavobacteriaceae
Description: Flavo-1 RNA
Source: RNAcentral
UUCUGCCCAGGAUAGAAACGGAAAGCCCGAAAGGGAAGAGCCCUUAAAAAACAAAACCCAAAAGAGCGACCAGCGGAAGCUCCUUUUGGGUUUAUGUUUUUUUGGGCGAUGACCGCGGACUUGCAGUGUAUAGCCUGAAUUGGC